GUGUGGUGAGAAUUUUUGUUUCACUCGGUGGCAAAAUUUGUUUAAUCCUCGUGCCUUGAAACCCUCGCAACGCUCAAAAUUCUAUUUUUCGAACCACUCGCUACGCUCGUGGGUCCAUUUUGCAAUCUUUCGCUUGCUCGGGUAUCAAUAUUAGCACGAGCGGUUAAACAACAACUUUUACGCUGUGUAAAACAAAUAACUAUUGUCAUAUUACCGUAGA
Molecule: long non-coding RNA, 220 nt
Organism: Cydia strobilella
Lineage: Eukaryota; Metazoa; Arthropoda; Insecta; Lepidoptera; Tortricidae
Exons: 3
Source: RefSeq, a predicted model, not a curated record